GGGCCCGCACAAGCGGUGGAGCAUGUGGUUUAAUUCGAUGAUACGCGAGGAACCUUACCAGGGCUUAAAUGCAGAACGACCGGAGUGGAAACACUCCUUUUUCGACGGUCUGCAAGGUGCUGCAUGGUUGUCGUCAGCUCGUGCUGUGAAGUGUCGGGUUAAGUCCCAUAACGAGCGCAACCCCUAUUUCUAGUUGCCAGCGGUUCGGCCGGGGACUCUAGAGAAACUGCCAGCGUAAGCUGUGAGGAAGGUGGGGAUGACGUCAAAUCAUCACGGCCCUUACGUCCUGGGCCACACACGUGCUACAAUGGUGGGGACAACAAGUUGCCAACCCGCAAGGGUGAGCUAAUCUCAAAACCCCAUCUCAGUUCGGAUCGGAGUCUGCAACUCGACUCCGUGAAGUUGGAAUCGCUAGUAAUCGCGCAUC
This 427-nucleotide ribosomal RNA is filed under the name uncultured bacterium. RNAcentral describes it as "bacterial SSU rRNA". It matches the Rfam family "Bacterial small subunit ribosomal RNA", at positions 917 to 1350 of the family's 1533-position model. The record is from RNAcentral.